Long non-coding RNA from Callithrix jacchus (white-tufted-ear marmoset), 1932 nucleotides. The record is from Ensembl. Lineage: Eukaryota; Metazoa; Chordata; Mammalia; Primates; Cebidae.
AUGCCGGAAACAGGCGCAUGGGGUAAUUUGCCAAAUCUCAGAAUCAGGGAAGCUGUAAACAUGGGCAUUGUAGUCCUGAGUUGCAACAUGUUUCUGACUCAGUCUCCUGCCAGUAUGGAUUUGUACUUGCCUGUGAUUUAUUUUGUUUCUGGCUUACCCUGGGGCAUUGGAGGGCUGGAGACUUCUGCCAGAACACCUAGGAUAUGUGAAGAGUUCCUGCCAGAAACCAAUAAUAUACUUGAUCAUCGAUAUCAUGUACUGCACUCCCCUAGCCCCUGCCUGAGUCUUCCUCUGGCAAAACUCCAAGGCUCUUCAACUUCUCUGCCUUUGAGAAGUAACUGAGAAAUAACAAGCUCUGCCACCACCAGUUGGGCUGAACACCUGGGAUGCAAUGCGGGUAGCCACCAAGGUCACUGCAAUGAUACACAAACAAUGACAACAGUGAAACCAUGUCUCAGGGACAAAGGGUAAGAACCAGUGCAAUGCUGACUGUGGAAAGGAACACCGUGACAGCUGUCAGCAAAAGCAUUUCAGUUCCCCUUCUCCUUGUGACUUUGGGUCAAUCAUUUCUCCUCCCUGCCUGUCAUCUUUCUCAUCUGUACCAUGAAAGUUGGCUGAGGUCUUUCUAUCAGUGGGAAUGUGGAUAUUCUUAAGUAGGUGGGGAAAUCCAAUAGGCAUCCUGAUACCUCCCUCCUGGGGAUAUCCUAGGGUGACACUUACCCAGGUUGCUCUCCACUGCCAGCAGUAUGCAAGAUUUGCCUCGGUGUCAACUGUACAUUCAGUUCUAUUUUCUCCUAAGAGUUGCACUCAUUGAGAUUGUCUUCAAGACUGAUGUGUUAUCGUCACUGGCUUAUGUCAAUAAGCUCCGUUCCUUUGCUCCAGAUCUAUGAGCAGAAUGUUUUGGGACCUCAGGUCAGCAUUUUGUAAAUCCACAGUGGUAAUCUCCUGUUCCUGCCUCUUGGCCCUGUGAAGUAAUGCUGUUGGCUUCCAGGACUUCUGCAGGGCCUAAGAGCUUGGCAGCUUCGGGACCAUCUAAGGUGACUUAUGACUGUUAUUCCACCCUGAGGUUUAGGCCUCAGCCACAAAGCAAGAGAUCCGUGGUUCCUGGCACCUGGCUUCUGGAAAGUUAAACUGUCAUCUACCUCUUUGUCUGAUCAAGCAGUUCAGCAGCCCUUCAGUUUAAAUAACAACUACAAAAUAAAUAUCACAGAGAACUCUCAGCAAGGUUUCAUUAGUGCAGGAAAAUGUAACAUUCAAAUUCUGGACAAUAUUGUCAUGUGCGUUCAUUUUCCUUCCUGCGCAAACCUUCCCACAACGAUUCCCGUAAAGAAAAUUAAUUUGGCAUAAGGAGUUUGGGCAAAGAAGGCUGCUAGGUGGGUCAGCCAUCCGGCCAUCCUCAAGAGGCUGUGUACUGGGAAUCUGGUGAGCAGCUGAGUUAGGGGCUGCUGAUGGAAGUUCAGAGGGCAUUGGAAAAUAAACCCGGUGAAGGAGGAGAAAGCACGGCUUGGACCAGCAGGAAAGUUGAUAUGCUUGGUUCAUGUAACAGUUACUUAUUCUUUCUAAGCCACCUAUACUUAUUUCCAGAAGAGGCAAUAAAUCUUAGUAAAGUAUUCAGAUUCUGGAGUCAGACUACCAUGGGUUUUUAACCUUGGCCCUGAGGUUUCCUCACUGUGUGCCCUCGGUCAGGCUUUUUACUCUCUUGAAGCCUUUGUUUUUUCUCCUUGUAAAUGAGGAUGAAUAUACCUAUCUUUCCAGAGCUGAGGGUUACGGGAGAUGAUAUACAUGACAGUGUCAACAUAGUUGAUACUAUCUACAGCCCAGUUCCAGGAGAUCAACCCACUUGCUGAAUGGGCAAUAAACCUUCAAUAAAUGUCUUGUGAUUAAGUUACAUACUACGGGAAGAUAUUCCAAUUAUUGUUUACAAAAUACACU